RNAcentral lists this ribosomal RNA (1301 nucleotides) under metagenome. Its description in RNAcentral is "bacterial SSU rRNA". It matches the Rfam family "Bacterial small subunit ribosomal RNA", at positions 187 to 1520 of the family's 1533-position model. The record is from RNAcentral.
UUGUUGCGUAUAAGGUAAAGGUUGUAACUAACCACUAAGGGAGCGGCCUGCGUCCUAUCAGCUUGUUGGUGGGGUAAAAGCCUACCAAGGCGAUGACGGGUAGCUGGACUGAGAGGUCGGUCAGCCACAAGGAGACUGAGACACGGCUCCUACACCUACGGGUGGCAGCAACUAGGAAUAUUGCGCAAUGGACGAAAGUCUGACGCAGCGACACCGCGUGAAGGAUGAAGGCUCUUGGGUCGUAAACUUCUUUUGCCAAGCCGUCGAGGUUUGGCGAGUAAACACCUACAAACUACGUGCCAGCAGUCGCGGUAAUACGUAGGGUGUAAGCGCUAUCCGGAUUUAUUGGGCGUAAAGUGUCUCGUAGGCGGUUUUUUAAGUCCGAGCUUAAACACCGAGGCUCAACCUCGGAUACAGGCUUGGAUACUGGGAAACUAGAGGAAAGACGGGGAUGCCGGAAUUUGCGGAGGAGCAGUGAAAUGCGUUGAUAUCGCAAAGAACACCAAAGGCGAAGGCAGGCAUCUAGGCUUUUUCUGACGCUGAGGAACGACAGCUAGGGGAGCGAAAGGGAUUAGAGACCCCUGUAGUCCUAGCCGUAAACUUUGUCUGCUAGAUAGUCCCGAUUUAUCGGGACUGUCGCAAGCUAACGCGUUAAGCAGACCGCCUGGGGAGUACGGCCGCAAGGUUGAAACUCAAAGGAAUUGACGGGGAGGCGCACAACCAGUGGAGCGUGUGGUUUAAUUCGAGACGAAACGAAAGACCUCACCUGGGUUUGACAUCCUAGACAGUUAGCGCCCGGAAACGGGUGGCGAACCGUUAAGUCGGUAUCUAGGAAAGCUGCUGCAUGGCUGUCGUCAGCUCUAGGCGUGAGCUGUAGGCUUAAGUGCCUCAUAGAGCGCAACCCCUACCCGCUGUUAAAUUUUUUCAGCGGGAACUGCUUCGACCAUCCGUCGAAGAGGAAGGAGGGGACGACGUCAAGUCAGCACGGCGCUUAUGUCCAGGGCCACACACACACUACAAUGGACCAGACAACGGGUUGCAAGCGGGUAACCGUAAGCUAAUCUCUUAAACUGGUCCUCAGUUGGGAUUGAGGGCUGCAACUCGCCCUCAUGAACCCGGAAUUGGUAGUAAUCGCGGAUCAGCAUGCCGCGGUGAAUACGUUCUCGCCUCUUGUACACACUGCCCGUCAAAUCAACAAAGUCAGGGGUAGCCGAAGCCCGGUCAGUUAUUAACCGGAUUAAGCUAAACUUGGCGAUGGGGGUUAAGUCGUAACAAGGUAUCCGUUCUGGAAGGAGCGGAUG